UACAGAGGGUGCGAGCGUUGUCCGGAAUCAUUGGGCGUAAAGGGCGCGUAGGCGGCCUGAUAAGUCGGGGGUGAAAUCCUGUGGCUUAACCACAGGGCUGCCUCCGAGACUGUCGGGCUCGAGCACAGUAGAGGCAGGUGGAAUUCCCGGUGUAGCGGUGGAAUGCGUAGAGAUCGGGAAGAACAUCGGUGGCGAAGGCGGCCUGCUGGGCUGUUGCUGACGCUGAGGCGCGACAGCGUGGGGAGCAAACAGG
Molecule: ribosomal RNA, 253 nt
Filed under: uncultured bacterium
Lineage: Bacteria
Description: partial 16S ribosomal RNA
Rfam family: Bacterial small subunit ribosomal RNA
Source: RNAcentral